Molecule: long non-coding RNA, 1222 nt
Filed under: Macaca mulatta (Rhesus monkey)
Lineage: Eukaryota; Metazoa; Chordata; Mammalia; Primates; Cercopithecidae
Description: lncRNA (ENSMMUG00000055391.1)
Source: RNAcentral
CAGACCCUCAAAUGCAGAGUCCUCCAAACCUUGGGAGUCUCAAAACUGUGGCUCAUUGAUUCCCAAGACCCCCCCACCACAAAUGCCUUCACAUUCUGAAUCCUAAACCAGAAGACUCCUCACACCUAGGGACCCCCAAAAGAGAAACUCCAACGAUUGCAAAGCAAAUUGCAAAGUAAAGGACCCCUCAAACUCCAAGACUUUCUAAAGCCAGGGAGUUUAAACUCACUCUCAAACUUGGGGAACCCCAAAUUCAAGGGCCUUUGGAUCUCCAAAUGUGCAACCUUUUGAACCCAGGGAUCCCAAACUCAAUCCCUGAGCCCCCGCUUCCUGGUUCAUCCUCAGCCUUCUCAGGAUGUCCCCUCUGCUUCCUGCAGACCUGCUGCCCACUGUGCGGAUAGUGGCCGGAGUGGCCGCUGCCACCACGACUCUCCUUAUGGUCAUCACUGGGGUGGCCCUCUGCUGCUGGUGCCACGGCAAGGCCUCAGCCUCUUUCUCCGGGCAAAAGAACCUGAUGCGAAUCCCCGGCAGCAGCGACGGCUGCAGUUCGCGAGGCCCUUAAGAAGAGGAGACAGGCAGCCGCGAGGACCGGGGCCCCAUUGUGCACACUGACCACAGUGAUCUGGUUCUGGAGGAGGAAGGGACUCUGGAGACCAAGGUGAGUGUUGGGAGGGGUGGGGCUCCCUUCACUGUUGGGAGAGGCGGGGCUCCCUUCACUGUGUUUCCAUCUCUCUCCCAUGCCUGUCUCCUCCUUUUUCCUUCUGUUGUCCUCAGAACUGGGACUCAGCUCCUCACCCCACUCCUCCUGCCCCCUGGACCAUCUCACCUAGCUCCCAGCCUCAGUUUGCCUACCUGCAGAGUCUGCCCACACAUCUGUCCCAGCCCCAGAUGGGGGUCACUAUGCCUGUGCUCUCCUCAUCACAGUCAAGCCCCCUUUCAGCCCCUUUAUACUGGCCCCAUAUCUCCCCAAACCUGUCCUUCCUCUGGGAUCCUACCUCAGGACAGCCACAUUGAUUCCAGGCCAUCCCCAGGCCACAGCACUUCUCUCUCUCCUCUGUACCUAGCACAUGCCAUUCUCUUUCUCUCUCUUCUUUUUUUUUUGAGACAGAGUCUCACUCUGUUGCCCCUGCUGGAGUGCAGUGGUGCAAUCUCGGCUCACUGCAACCUCUGCCUCCUGGGUUCAAGCCAUUCUCCUGCCUCAGGCUCCCGAAUAGCUGGCUAA